This is a non-coding RNA of Calypte anna (Anna's hummingbird), 202 nucleotides long. NCBI's taxonomy places the organism in Eukaryota, Metazoa, Chordata, Aves, Apodiformes, Trochilidae. The record is from Rfam.
UCCAGCGGUAGUCAGCUGCCUGUUGCUGCUCAGUGCCUGUGGUAGUGUUAUGCUGCUGGGAGAGAAAAGUGCUGCCGAGUUACUCCUGGCACCGCCGGGGCUGUUCUGGUGCUGGAUGGUGCCAGGUUGGGCAGCACUCUGCAUGCCUGAGAGUGGAGUAACUCCUCCCGGUGGAGCUAAUCCUAGAUCGGAUGCAGACAAC